UUGAGCGGGGGGACAACAUUUGGAAACGAAUGCUAAUACCGCAUAACAACUUUAAACACAAGUUUUAAGUUUGAAAGAUGCAAUUGCAUCACUCAAAGAUGAUCCCGCGUUGUAUUAGCUAGUUGGUGAGGUAAAGGCUCACCAAGGCGAUGAUACAUAGCCGACCUGAGAGGGUGAUCGGCCACAUUGGGACUGAGACACGGCCCAAACUCCUACGGGAGGCAGCAGUAGGGAAUCUUCGGCAAUGGACGAAAGUCUGACCGAGCAACGCCGCGUGAGUGAAGAAGGUUUUCGGAUCGUAAAACUCUGUUGGUAGAGAAGAACGUUGGUGAGAGUGGAAAGCUCAUCAAGUGACGGUAACUACCCAGAAAGGGACGGCUAACUACGUGCCAGCAGCCGCGGUAAUACGUAGGUCCCGAGCGUUGUCCGGAUUUAUUGGGCGUAAAGCGAGCGCAGGUGGUUUAUUAAGUCUGGUGUAAAAGGCAGUGGCUCAACCAUUGUAUGCAUUGGAAACUGGUAGACUUGAGUGCAGGAGAGGAGAGUGGAAUUCCAUGUGUAGCGGUGAAAUGCGUAGAUAUAUGGAGGAACACCGGUGGCGAAAGCGGCUCUCUGGCCUGUAACUGACACUGAGGCUCGAAAGCGUGGGGAGCAAACAGGAUUAGAUACCCUGGUAGUCCACGCCGUAAACGAUGAGUGCUAGAUGUAGGGAGCUAUAAGUUCUCUGUAUCGCAGCUA
RNAcentral lists this ribosomal RNA (735 nucleotides) under Lactococcus lactis. RNAcentral describes it as "bacterial SSU rRNA". It matches the Rfam family "Bacterial small subunit ribosomal RNA", at positions 132 to 854 of the family's 1533-position model. Lineage: Bacteria; Bacillati; Bacillota; Bacilli; Lactobacillales; Streptococcaceae. The record is from RNAcentral.